RNAcentral lists this transfer RNA (49 nucleotides) under Chaca sp. Its description in RNAcentral is "partial tRNA-Val". The record is from RNAcentral. Lineage: Eukaryota; Metazoa; Chordata; Actinopteri; Siluriformes; Chacidae.
AAGCAUCUCCCUUACACCGAGAAGACAUCCAUGCAAAUUGGAUCGCUCU